AGGACGAACGCUGGCGGCGUGCUUAACACAUGCAAGUCGAGCGGAAAGGCCCUUCGGGGUACUCGAGCGGCGAACGGGUGAGUAACACGUGAGUAAUCUGCCCCUAGCUCUGGGAUAGCUCCGGGAAACCGGGAUUAAUACCGGAUACGACCACCUUAGACAUCUUUUGUGGUGGAAAGAAUUUCGGCUAGGGAUGAGCUCGCGGCCUAUCAGCUUGUUGGUGGGUAACGCCUACAAGGCGACGACGGGUA
This 251-nucleotide ribosomal RNA is filed under the name uncultured bacterium. Its description in RNAcentral is "partial small subunit ribosomal RNA". It matches the Rfam family "Bacterial small subunit ribosomal RNA", at positions 26 to 285 of the family's 1533-position model. The record is from RNAcentral.